UACGAAGGGGGCUAGCGUUGCUCGGAAUUACUGGGCGUAAAGCGCACGUAGGCGGCUCUUUAAGUCGGAGGUGAAAUCCUGGAGCUCAACUCCAGAACUGCCUUCGAUACUGAAGAGCUCGAGUCCGGGAGAGGUGAGUGGAGCUGCGAGUGUAGAGGUGAAAUUCGUAGGUAUUCGCAAGAACACCAGUGGCGAAGGCGGCUCACUGGCCCGGUACUGACGCUGAGGUGCGAAAGCGUGGGGAGCAAACAGG
This 253-nucleotide ribosomal RNA is filed under the name uncultured bacterium. RNAcentral describes it as "partial 16S ribosomal RNA". It matches the Rfam family "Bacterial small subunit ribosomal RNA", at positions 524 to 776 of the family's 1533-position model. The record is from RNAcentral.